UCUUAAAUCUUUUGUAGAAGCUUUAAUGCUCUGCACCACCGCCAAAGUUUUAUUUAUCGUGUCCCCUGUAUGUUGUUAUUGGAUUGCAGGAACUCUGCUACAUCUUUUUUUGUCUACUAAAGCUUCCGAAAAAUGGAGAAUACAUCAAAAAUCUGUAGAAGACAGAAAUCGAGUUAAUCUACGGGAAGCCAUCAAGUGGGUUCUUUUUCAACAUGUCCUUCAAAUGUUUCUAGCUUAUAUCGCUUUUGAUGAGCCUUUUAUGGAAGAGCCUGAACACAUUUUUAUUCACAUUGUUAAGUUUAUUUCUGCAAUGAUCCUCUUAGACACUUACCAGUAUUGGUUUCAUCGUUGGGCCCAUACUAAUAAAUUUCUUUAUAAUAACUUUCACUCUUGGCAUCACCGACUUUACUGUCCGUACCCUCUCGGAGCUCUUUACAAUCAUCCCCUUGAAGGCAUUUUUAUGGACACGCUCGGCGGAGUCGUGGCAAUCCAACUUUCGGGAAUGCACCAAUCAACAGCUCUUUUGUUUGCAUGCUUUUCUACUUUGAAGACACUUUUUGAUCACUGUAAUUUGGUCUUCCCAGCCAAUCCCUUUGCAGUAUUUAAAAAUAAUUCGCUCUAUCACGACUUCCACCACCAGCCAAUCGGUUUAAACUACAACUUAUCACAACCAUUUUUUACUUUCUGGGAUGAUGUUAUGGGGACUAAAUGGACUCCUCCACUCAUUGAAAAAUUUAAUAGUUCAAGAGAAAAAGAAAAAAUAAAAAUUUCCUAAAGCACUUGUUGAUAUUACUUUAUUGCGUUCUUUUGUAAAU
Molecule: long non-coding RNA, 815 nt
Organism: Zophobas morio
Lineage: Eukaryota; Metazoa; Arthropoda; Insecta; Coleoptera; Tenebrionidae
Exons: 6
Source: RefSeq, a predicted model, not a curated record